GACGAACGCUGGCGGCGUGCUUAACACAUGCAAGUCGAACGGAAAGGCCCUGCUUUUGUGGGGUGCUCGAGUGGCGAACGGGUGAGUAACACGUGAGUAACCUGCCCUUGACUUUGGGAUAACUUCAGGAAACUGGGGCUAAUACCGGAUAGGAGCUCCUGCUGCAUGGUGGGGGUUGGAAAGUUUCGGCGGUUGGGGAUGGACUCGCGGCUUAUCAGCUUGUUGGUGGGGUAGUGGCUUACCAAGGCUUUGACGGGUAGCCGGCCUGAGAGGGUGACCGGCCACAUUGGGACUGAGAUACGGCCCAGACUCCUACGGGAGGCAGCAGUGGGGAAUAUUGCACAAUGGGCGGAAGCCUGAUGCAGCAACGCCGCGUGCGGGAUGACGGCCUUCGGGUUGUAAACCGCUUUCGCCUGUGACGAAGCGUGAGUGACGGUAAUGGGUAAAGAAGCACCGGCUAACUACGUGCCAGCAGCCGCGGUGAUACGUAGGGUGCGAGCGUUGUCCGGAUUUAUUGGGCGUAAGGGGCUCGUAGGUGGUUGAUCGCGUCGGAGGUGUAAUCUUGGGGCUUAACCCUGAGCGUGCUUUCGAUACGGGUUGACUUGAGGAAGGUAGGGGAGAAUGGAAUUCCUGGUGGAGCGGUGGAAUGCGCAGAUAUCAGGAGGAACACCAGUGGCGAAGGCGGUUCUCUGGGCCUUUCCUGACGCUGAGGAGCGAAAGCGUGGGGAGCGAACAGGCUUAGAUACCCUGGUAGUCCACGCUGUAAACGGUGGGUACUAGGUGUGGGGUCCAUUCCACGGGUUCCGUGCCGUAGCUAACGCUUUAAGUACCCCGCCUGGGGAGUACGGCCGCAAGGCUAAAACUCAAAGGAAUUGACGGGGCCCCGCACAAGCGGCGGAGCAUGCGGAUUAAUUCGAUGCAACGCGUAGAACCUUACCUGGGUUUGACAUGGAUCGGGAGUGCUCAGAGAUGGGUGUGCCUCUUUUGGGGUCGGUUCACAGGUGGUGCAUGGCUGUCGUCAGCUCGUGUCGUGAGAUGUUGGGUUAAGUCCCGCAACGAGCGCAACCCUUGUUCACUGUUGCCAGCACGUUAUGGUGGGGACUCAGUGGAGACCGCCGGGGUCAACUCGGAGGAAGGUGGGGAUGACGUCAAGUCAUCAUGCCCCUUAUGUCCAGGGCUUCACGCAUGCUACAAUGGCUGGUACAGAGAGUGGCGAGCCUGUGAGGGUGAGCGAAUCUCGGAAAGCCGGUCUCAGUUCGGAUUGGGGUCUGCAACUCGACCUCAUGAAGUCGGAGUCGCUAGUAAUCGCAGAUCAGCAACGCUGCGGUGAAUACGUUCCCGGG
RNAcentral lists this ribosomal RNA (1343 nucleotides) under uncultured bacterium. RNAcentral describes it as "16S ribosomal RNA". It matches the Rfam family "Bacterial small subunit ribosomal RNA", at positions 28 to 1378 of the family's 1533-position model. The record is from RNAcentral.